UGUUUCGGCUAGGGGGCCAUCCCGGCUUACCAACCCGAUGCAAACUGCGAAUACCGGAGAAUGUUAUCACGGGAGACACACGGCGGGUGCUAACGUCCGUCGUGAAGAGGGAAACAACCCAGACCGCCAGCUAAGGUCCCAAAGUCAUGGUUAAGUGGGAAACGAUGUGGGAAGGCCCAGACAGCCAGGAUGUUGGCUUAGAAGCAGCCAUCAUUUAAAGAAAGCGUAAUAGCUCACUGGUCGAGUCGGCCUGCGCGGAAGAUGUAACGGGGCUAAACCAUGCACCGAAGCUGCGGCAGCGACACUUUAGUGUUGUUGGGUAGGGGAGCGUUCUGUAAGCCGUUGAAGGUGUCCUGUGAGGGGUGCUGGAGGUAUCAGAAGUGCGAAUGCUGACAUAAGUAACGAUAAAGCGGGUGAAAAGCCCGCUCGCCGGAAGACCAAGGGUUCCUGUCCAACGUUAAUCGGGGCAGGGUGAGUCGACCCCUAAGGCGAGGCCGAAAGGCGUAGUCGAUGGGAAACGGGUUAAUAUUCCCGUACUUGGUGUUACUGCGAAGGGGGGACGGAGAAGGCUAUGUUGGCCGGGCGACGGUUGUCCCGGUUUAAGCGUGUAGGUGUGUGUUCCAGGUAAAUCCGGUUCACUUUAACACUGAGGCGUGAUGACGAGGCAC
Molecule: ribosomal RNA, 668 nt
Filed under: Salmonella enterica subsp. diarizonae
Lineage: Bacteria; Pseudomonadati; Pseudomonadota; Gammaproteobacteria; Enterobacterales; Enterobacteriaceae
Description: partial 23S ribosomal RNA
Rfam family: Bacterial large subunit ribosomal RNA
Source: RNAcentral